RNAcentral lists this ribosomal RNA (401 nucleotides) under uncultured bacterium. RNAcentral's name for it is "bacterial SSU rRNA". It matches the Rfam family "Bacterial small subunit ribosomal RNA", at positions 975 to 1375 of the family's 1533-position model. The record is from RNAcentral.
CCGACCUUGACAUCCCAAUGAAUGCAGAGUAAAAUUUGCAGCCCUUCGGGGCAUUGGAGACAGGUGGUGCAUGGUUGUCGUCAGCUCGUGUCGUGAGAUGUUGGGUUAAGUCCCGCAACGAGCGCAACCCCUGCCCCCAGUAGCCAGCAGGUAAAGCUGGGCACUCUGGGGGGACUGUCCGGGAUAACCGGGAGGAAGGUGGGGAUGACGUCAAAUCAUCAUGCCCCUUAUGGCCGGGGCUACACACGUGCUACAAUGGCGUGAACAGAGGGAAGCGAGCCUGCGAGGGGGAGCGAAUCCCAAAAAUAACGUCCCAGUUCGGAUUGUAGUCUGCAACCCGACUACAUGAAGCUGGAAUCGCUAGUAAUCGCGGAUCAGAAUGCCGCGGUGAAUACGUUCCC